UACGUAGGGGGCAAGCGUUGUCCGGAUUUAUUGGGCGUAAAGAGCUCGUAGGCGGUGCGUCGCGUCGGCCGUGAAAACCUGCAGCUUAACUGUGGGCUUGCGGUCGAUACGGGCAUCACUGGAGUUCGGCAGGGGAGACUGGAAUUCCUGGUGUAGCGGUGAAAUGCGCAGAUAUCAGGAGGAACACCGGUGGCGAAGGCGGGUCUCUGGGCCGAUACUGACGCUGAGGAGCGAAAGCGUGGGGAGCGAACAGG
RNAcentral lists this ribosomal RNA (254 nucleotides) under uncultured bacterium. Its description in RNAcentral is "partial 16S ribosomal RNA". It matches the Rfam family "Bacterial small subunit ribosomal RNA", at positions 524 to 776 of the family's 1533-position model. The record is from RNAcentral.